UAAUUUUUUAAGAGGACAAACACAAGUACUUUCAUUGAGGCAUUAGUCAAGUAGGUAGGCAGAAAAGAAAUUAAAAAUAUAAUUUGAAGGGGUAGAGAGAAUCUAAAAGUGAUGCCGCCACUCCAUUCCAAAAACCAUAAAGGAAAACAAGAAAAUCGAGCCCCUUAGCAAGGUGAGACAUGAAAUGUGCACAAAUGCAGGAGGUAAGAGGCGUGCCAUUCCUUUAAUAAAACACUUGGCUAGUGACAAGUCUCAUCUACAGACAAAAAUGCUGGUGAAGAUUCAAGAAGAUGGAGGAGACACACAAGAUCUUGGAUCCGACACUGCUGCAGAUUUGCAGAGAGCUAAGGAUAUUUUAAGUAGUGGAGGAAUUCAGGGAGAGAAAAAAACGUGGCAAGAAAAUAGAGUCCAUGGAGCUUGGCUGCAAGGAAUGUGAGAAGACACAUGGAAGAGAAGGUCCAUAGCUAUAAUAUUGAAAUUGAAAAGAGAAGUAAACCCAACAAUCCGACAAGAGAUGGAGUCCUCUGAUCUGGGUCUGCCUUGCUCAGGCCCUGUUAAUCCUGCAGGGGUCCUUGUAUCCCGCCACCAUAUUUUGUAUCUCAGCAUAGAAUACAAAAUAGGCCACCCGUCUGUGCUUGGCCAUCACUCUUCUUCACCACUAUAUAUUUUUUUUUUCUUGCUUGCUUUGUUGUUUAUGCACACUACCUGACAUAAAUGGUUGAAUUGCUUUUUCUUUC
RNAcentral lists this long non-coding RNA (737 nucleotides) under Populus trichocarpa (black cottonwood). RNAcentral's name for it is "long non-coding RNA (PTRI_LNC001939)". Lineage: Eukaryota; Viridiplantae; Streptophyta; Magnoliopsida; Malpighiales; Salicaceae. The record is from RNAcentral.